This 497-nucleotide ribosomal RNA is filed under the name uncultured bacterium. Its description in RNAcentral is "partial 16S ribosomal RNA". It matches the Rfam family "Bacterial small subunit ribosomal RNA", at positions 28 to 507 of the family's 1533-position model. The record is from RNAcentral.
GAUGAACGCUGGCGGCGUGCCUAAUACAUGCAAGUCGAGCGAACAGACGAGGAGCUUGCUCCUCUGACGUUAGCGGCGGACGGGUGAGUAACACGUGGAUAACCUACCUAUAAGACUGGGAUAACUUCGGGAAACCGGAGCUAAUACCGGAUAAUAUAUUGAACCGCAUGGUUCAAUAGUGAAAGACGGUUUUGCUGUCACUUAUAGAUGGAUCCGCGCCGCAUUAGCUAGUUGGUAAGGUAACGGCUUACCAAGGCGACGAUGCGUAGCCGACCUGAGAGGGUGAUCGGCCACACUGGAACUGAGACACGGUCCAGACUCCUACGGGAGGCAGCAGUAGGGAAUCUUCCACAAAGGGCGAAAGCCUGACGGAGCAACGCCGCGUGAGUGAUGAAGGUCUUCGGAUCGUAAAACUCUGUUAUUAGGGAAGAACAAAUGUGUAAGUAACUAUGCACGUCUUGACGGUACCUAAUCAGAAAGCCACGGCUAACUACGUG